GAUGAACGCUGGCGGCGUGCUUAACACAUGCAAGUCGAACGGAAAGGCCCUGCUUUUGUGGGGUGCUCGAGUGGCGAACGGGUGAGUAACACGUGAGUAACCUGCCCUCGACUUUGGGAUAACUUCAGGAAACUGGGGCUAAUACCGGAUAGGAGCUCCUGCUGCAUGGUGGGGGUUGGAAAGUUUCGGCGGUUGGGGAUGGACUCGCGGCUUAUCAGCUUGUUGGUGGGGUAGUGGCUUACCAAGGCUUUGACGGGUAGCCGGCCUGAGAGGGUGACCGGCCACAUUGGGACUGAGAUACGGCCCAGACUCCAACGGGAGGCAGCAGUGGGGAAUAUUGCACAAUGGGCGGAAGCCUGAUGCAGCAACGCCGCGUGCGGGAUGACGGCCUUCGGGUUGUAAACCGCUUUCGCCUGUGACGAAGCGUGAGUGACGGUAAUGGGUAAAGAAGCACCGGCUAACUACGUG
RNAcentral lists this ribosomal RNA (468 nucleotides) under uncultured bacterium. RNAcentral's name for it is "partial 16S ribosomal RNA". It matches the Rfam family "Bacterial small subunit ribosomal RNA", at positions 28 to 507 of the family's 1533-position model. The record is from RNAcentral.